Molecule: long non-coding RNA, 909 nt
Organism: Corticium candelabrum
Lineage: Eukaryota; Metazoa; Porifera; Homoscleromorpha; Homosclerophorida; Plakinidae
Exons: 5
Source: RefSeq, a predicted model, not a curated record
AUCUGUCCAUUGUUUCCAAACACAAUCACGACAUGUGAACUCGAACCAUUUGCUUGUCGAAACGAUUCGGAUUGUUCCGAUGGUCAGUUGUGUUGCAAAAGGGGAUGCGGCCUUGAAUGCGUAAAGUCUUUACCAACAGGAACUGCCGGUUGUGCUCGCGUUGUUUGUCGAAAUGGAACGGUUUGCAGAGAGACUAGCGUGGGCGUUUUAUGCCCCGUCAAAGGACCAUGCAAAAAGAAAGUAGAAUGCGUGCCUGAAGUUGUGGAACCUACAGUGCCCGAACCUACAGUGUUAGAAUCUAUCGAUACCACUCCUACAGUGAUAGAGUAUGACGCUACAACUACUACAGUCGUAAAUCCUACAGCGUUAGAAUCUACCGGUACAACUCUUGCAGUGCAUGCUAGAGGCUACAACGCUUCCUCAUUGAUCACUUUUGAUAGGUCCCGUUGAUUGUACACUGGUUCCAUGCCCAAAAGGCCAGAUCUGCACAAAGAAGGUGUUUCCGUGCCUUAUUCCGCCGUGUCCAGAGCAGCACAAAUGUGUUUUACCCGAUCCGUGUGAUGAAGUACAAUGUCCAAUUGAAACGUCGUGCGUAGUCGAUAAUGGUCGUAUAGAAUGUGUGAGACGUGGCACGUGUCCCAAAUUUCCCGAUCUCAUCACGACGUGCGAAGUCCGUUCCGGACACUGUCUGAGCGACAUCGAGUGCCAGACCGGCGAGAAGUGCUGCAUUAGAGGAUGCGGUCGGGAGUGUGUUUCAGUUGUCACAGGUAACGGAGACAUCCAACAGAGUUCCCGUAUAUACUGACUUCUGUAAUGUAGUGUAAUGUGUUGUCUAUAGUAAAUCCUUGUGCUUUUACUCUGUGUCCUAAAGGGACCGUUUGCGUUGAAGAAAAUGAUGAAGGUGUAUGC